CGGUCAAAUGUUUAAACGUUUCGUUACAAAGUUUGCACUUAACUCUAUCAGUACCUUCUAUUAUUUCAAAAAAUUUCCAAACAGGACUUCUUUUUAUACGAGUAGAAGUUGGAGCCACUGGUGGUCUUCUACCCCUUGUUGCACUACAACUCCAACUCCAAUACUACCAACAUUUCCACUACUAGGUGUACGUGGUAUCUCAUCUGCUAUUCCAAUUUCACUAUCUUCUAUUCCGUAAUCUUCUUGUAAUUGUUCAUAAUCAAUUUCUACAUCUUGCAAAUUAGGCGAUGAUUCAGAAGCAUGUGUUAUUGGGUCAUUACUAUUACUACCAGAAGCUACAGGACUACCUCUUUUUUUACUUCCACCCCUACCAGUAACUUUUCUACACGCUCUUUNNNN
This 399-nucleotide long non-coding RNA is filed under the name Nicotiana benthamiana. RNAcentral describes it as "long non-coding RNA (NBEN_LNC014867)". The record is from RNAcentral. Lineage: Eukaryota; Viridiplantae; Streptophyta; Magnoliopsida; Solanales; Solanaceae.